AGGGUUUGAUUCUGGCUCAGAAUGAACGUUGGCGGCGUGGAUUAGGCAUGCAAGUCGAGCGGAAGUAGCAAUACUUUAGCGGCGAAAGGGACAGUAAUACGUAGAUACGUACCCUCAGGACUGGGAUAGCUACGGGAAACUGUAGGUAAUACCAGAUAACGUCUCCGGACCAAAGGUGUGAGUCCGCCUGAGGAGCGGUCUGCGUCCUAUUAGCUUGUUGGUGAGGUAAUGGCUCACCAAGGCAUUGAUGGGUAGCGGGUGUGAGAGCACGACCCGCGUCAUUGGGACUGAGAUACUGCCCAGACACCUACGGGUGGCUGCAGUCGAGGAUCUUCGGCAAUGGGCGCAAGCCUGACCGAGCGACGCCGCGUGUGGGAUGAAGGCUUUCGGGUUGUAAACCACUGUCAGUGGGGAGGAAAUUUAUGAGGGUACUCCCUCAUAAUUGACCUAUCCGCAGAGGAAGCAAGGGCUAAGUUCGUGCCAGCAGCCGCGGUAAGACGAACCUUGCUAACGUUAUUCGGAAUUACUGGGCUUAAAGGGUGCGUAGGCGGUGCAGCAAGUCGGGUGUGAAAGCCCUCAGCUCAACUGAGGAAUUGCGUCCGAAACUGCUGUGCUUGAGGAAUACAGAGGUAUGCGGAACUUAGGGUGAGCGGUGAAAUGCGUUGAUAUCCUAAGGAACACCGGUGGCGAAGGCGGCAUACUGGGUAUUUUCUGACGCUCAUGCACGAAAGCUAGGGUAGCGAACGGGAUUAGAUACCCCGGUAGUCCUAGCAGUAAACUCUGAGCACUUGGUUGAAGGGUCCUCCAUAGCCUUUUAGCCGUAGCGAAAGUGUUAAGUGCUCCGCCUGGGGAGUAUGGUCGCAAGGCUGAAACUCAAAGAAAUUGACGGGGGCUCACACAAGCGGUGGAGGAUGUGGCUUAAUUCGAGGCUACGCGAAGAACCUUAUCCUAGUCUUGACAUGCAUGGAUUAACCCGGUGAAAGCCGGGCCACGCCUUCGGGUGGAACAUGCACAGGUGCUGCAUGGCUGUCGUCAGCUCGUGUCGUGAGAUGUCGCGUUAAGUCGCUUAACGAGCGAAACCCUUGUCUCCAGUUGCCAGCGGGUCAUGCCGGGGACUCUGGAGAGACUGCCGGUGUUAAACCGGAGGAAGGUGGGGAUGACGUCAAGUCCUCAUGGCCUUUAUGAUUAGGGCUGCACACGUCCUACAAUGGCGCGCACAAAGGGAUGCCAAGUCGCGAGACCGAGCAAAUCCCAAAAAUCGCGCCCCAGUUCGGAUUGCAGGCUGCAACCCGCCUGCAUGAAGCCGGAAUCGCUAGUAAUCGCGGAUCAGAAUGCCGCGGUGAAUGUGUUCCUGAGCCUUGUACACACCGCCCGUCAAGCCACGAAAGUGGGGGGUAUCCGAAGUCGCCGAUGGAACCGCAAGGACCUAAGCGCCUAAGAUAAACUCCGCGAUUGGGACUAAGUCGUAACAAGGUA
Molecule: ribosomal RNA, 1476 nt
Filed under: metagenome
Description: bacterial SSU rRNA
Rfam family: Bacterial small subunit ribosomal RNA
Source: RNAcentral